AGAGUUUGAUCCUGGCUCAGGAUGAACGCUGGCGGCGUGCUUAACACAUGCAAGUCGAGCGAAGCACUCGGCCUUGAAUCUUCGGAGGAAAGGCGGUUUGACUGAGCGGCGGACGGGUGAGUAACGCGUGGGCAACCUGCCCCAUACGGGGGGAUAACAGUUAGAAAUGACUGCUAAUACCGCAUAAGACCGCGGUGCCGCAUGGCACAGCGGUAAAAACUCCGGUGGUAUGGGAUGGGCCCGCGUCUGAUUAGCUAGUUGGCGGGGUAACGGCCCACCAAGGCGACGAUCAGUAGCCGACCUGAGAGGGCGACCGGCCACAUUGGGACUGAGACACGGCCCAAACUCCUACGGGAGGCAGCAGUGGGGAAUAUUGCACAAUGGGGGAAACCCUGAUGCAGCGACGCCGCGUGAGCGAUGAAGUAUUUCGGUAUGUAAAGCUCUAUCAGCAGGGAAGAAGAUGACGGUACCUGACUAAGAAGCCCCGGCUAACUACGUGCCAGCAGCCGCGGU
RNAcentral lists this ribosomal RNA (513 nucleotides) under uncultured bacterium. RNAcentral describes it as "bacterial SSU rRNA". It matches the Rfam family "Bacterial small subunit ribosomal RNA", at positions 8 to 521 of the family's 1533-position model. The record is from RNAcentral.